GACGAACGCUGGCGGCGUGCUUAACACAUGCAAGUCGAACGGUAAGGCCCCAGCUUGCUGGGGUACACGAGUGGCGAGCGGGUGAGUAACACGUGGGUGACCUGCCCCGCACUUCGGGAUAAGCCUGGGAAACUGGGUCUAAUACCGGAUAGGACCGCACCGUGAGGGUGUGGUGGAAAGUUUUUCGGUGUGGGAUGGGCCCGCGGCCUAUCAGCUUGUUGGUGGGGUAAUGGCCUACCAAGGCGGCGACGGGUAGCCGGCCUGAGAGGGUGGACGGCCACAUUGGGACUGAGACACGGCCCAGACUCCUACGGGAGGCAGCAGUGGGGAAUAUUGCACAAUGGGCGGAAGCCUGAUGCAGCGACGCCGCGUGGGGGAUGACGGCCUUCGGGUUGUAAACUCCUUUCACCAUCGACGAAGGUUUUCUGACGGUAGAUGGAGAAGAAGCACCGGCUAACUACGUG
Molecule: ribosomal RNA, 464 nt
Filed under: uncultured bacterium
Lineage: Bacteria
Description: partial 16S ribosomal RNA
Rfam family: Bacterial small subunit ribosomal RNA
Source: RNAcentral